RNAcentral lists this ribosomal RNA (662 nucleotides) under uncultured bacterium. RNAcentral describes it as "bacterial SSU rRNA". It matches the Rfam family "Bacterial small subunit ribosomal RNA", at positions 65 to 742 of the family's 1533-position model. The record is from RNAcentral.
UAUUGAAACUUCGGUCGAUUUAAUUUAAUUCUAGUGGCGGACGGGUGAGUAACGCGUGGGUAACCUGCCUUAUACAGGGGGAUAACAGUCAGAAAUGGCUGCUAAUACCGCAUAAGCGCACAGAGCUGCAUGGCUCAGUGUGAAAAACUCCGGUGGUAUAAGAUGGACCCGCGUUGGAUUAGCUGGUUGGUGGGGUAACGGCCCACCAAGGCGACGAUCCAUAGCCGGCCUGAGAGGGUGAACGGCCACAUUGGGACUGAGACACGGCCCAGACUCCUACGGGAGGCAGCAGUGGGGAAUAUUGCACAAUGGGGGAAACCCUGAUGCAGCGACGCCGCGUGAAGGAAGAAGUAUCUCGGUAUGUAAACUUCUAUCAGCAGGGAAGAUAGUGACGGUACCUGACUAAGAAGCCCCGGCUAACUACGUGCCAGCAGCCGCGGUAAUACGUAGGGGGCAAGCGUUAUCCGGAUUUACUGGGUGUAAAGGGAGCGUAGACGGUGUGGCAAGUCUGAUGUGAAAGGCAUGGGCUCAACCUGUGGACUGCAUUGGAAACUGUCAUACUUGAGUGCCGGAGGGGUAAGCGGAAUUCCUAGUGUAGCGGUGAAAUGCGUAGAUAUUAGGAGGAACACCAGUGGCGAAGGCGGCUUACUGGACGGUAACUA